AACGCGAAGAACCUUACCUGGGCUCGAACGGCUUCUGAAGUUUGGUGGAAACACUGAAUGUCCCGCAAGGGACAGGAGUCGAGGUGCUGCAUGGCUGUCGUCAGCUCGUGUCGUGAGAUGUUGGGUUAAGUCCCGCAACGAGCGCAACCCUUGUCCUGUGUUGCGACCCGCAAGGGAGCACUCUCAGGAGACCGCCAACGAUAAGUUGGAGGAAGGUGGGGAUGACGUCAAGUCAUCAUGGCCUUUAUGUCCAGGGCUACACACGUGCUACAAUGGGCGGUACAAAGCGCAGCGAACUCGUGAGAGGGAGCAAAUCGCAAAAAACCGUUCUCAGUUCGGAUUGCAGGCUGCAACUCGCCUGCAUGAAGCUGGAAUCGCUAGUAAUGGCAUAUCAGAACGAUGCCGUGAAUACGUUCCCGGGCCUUGUACACACCGAGACGUA
Molecule: ribosomal RNA, 442 nt
Filed under: uncultured bacterium
Lineage: Bacteria
Description: bacterial SSU rRNA
Rfam family: Bacterial small subunit ribosomal RNA
Source: RNAcentral